CAUCAUAAUUUUUAUGGAGAGUUUGAUCCUGGCUCAGGAUGAACGCUGGCGGCGUGCCUAAUACAUGCAAGUCGAGCGAACGGACGAGAAGCUUGCUUCUCUGAUGUUAGCGGCGGACGGGUGAGUAACACGUGGAUAACCUACCUAUAAGACUGGGAUAACUUCGGGAAACCGGAGCUAAUACCGGAUAAUAUUUUGAACCGCAUGGUUCAAAAGUGAAAGACGGUCUUGCUGUCACUUAUAGAUGGAUCCGCGCUGCAUUAGCUAGUUGGUAAGGUAACGGCUUACCAAGGCAACGAUGCAUAGCCGACCUGAGAGGGUGAUCGGCCACACUGGAACUGAGACACGGUCCAGACUCCUACGGGAGGCAGCAGUAGGGAAUCUUCCGCAAUGGGCGAAAGCCUGACGGAGCAACGCCGCGUGAGUGAUGAAGGUCUUCGGAUCGUAAAACUCUGUUAUUAGGGAAGAACAUAUGUGUAAGUAACUGUGCACAUCUUGACGGUACCUAAUCAGAAAGCCACGGCUAACUACGUGCCAGCAGCCGCGGUAAUACGUAGGUGGCAAGCGUUAUCCGGAAUUAUUGGGCGUAAAGCGCGCGUAGGCGGUUUUUUAAGUCUGAUGUGAAAGCCCACGGCUCAACCGUGGAGGGUCAUUGGAAACUGGAAAACUUGAGUGCAGAAGAGGAAAGUGGAAUUCCAUGUGUAGCGGUGAAAUGCGCAGAGAUAUGGAGGAACACCAGUGGCGAAGGCGACUUUCUGGUCUGUAACUGACGCUGAUGUGCGAAAGCGUGGGGAUCAAACAGGAUUAGAUACCCUGGUAGUCCACGCCGUAAACGAUGAGUGCUAAGUGUUAGGGGGUUUCCGCCCCUUAGUGCUGCAGCUAACGCAUUAAGCACUCCGCCUGGGGAGUACGACCGCAAGGUUGAAACUCAAAGGAAUUGACGGGGACCCGCACAAGCGGUGGAGCAUGUGGUUUAAUUCGAAGCAACGCGAAGAACCUUACCAAAUCUUGACAUCCUUUGACAACUCUAGAGAUAGAGCCUUCCCCUUCGGGGGACAAAGUGACAGGUGGUGCAUGGUUGUCGUCAGCUCGUGUCGUGAGAUGUUGGGUUAAGUCCCGCAACGAGCGCAACCCUUAAGCUUAGUUGCCAUCAUUAAGUUGGGCACUCUAAGUUGACUGCCGGUGACAAACCGGAGGAAGGUGAGGAUGACGUCAAAUCAUCAUGCCCCUUAUGAUUUGGGCUACACACGUGCUACAAUGGACAAUACAAAGGGCAGCGAAACCGCGAGGUCAAGCAAAUCCCAUAAAGUUGUUCUCAGUUCGGAUUGUAGUCUGCAACUCGACUACAUGAAGCUGGAAUCGCUAGUAAUCGUAGAUCAGCAUGCUACGGUGAAUACGUUCCCGGGUCUUGUACACACCGCCCGUCACACCACGAGAGUUUGUAACACCCGAAGCCGGUGGAGUAACCUUUUAGGAGCUAGCCGUCGAAGGUGGGACAAAUGAUUGGGGUGAAGUCGUAACAAGGUAGCCGUAUCGGAAGGUGCGGCUGGAUCACCUCCUUUCUA
RNAcentral lists this ribosomal RNA (1565 nucleotides) under Staphylococcus aureus. Its description in RNAcentral is "16S ribosomal RNA". It matches the Rfam family "Bacterial small subunit ribosomal RNA". Lineage: Bacteria; Bacillati; Bacillota; Bacilli; Caryophanales; Staphylococcaceae. The record is from RNAcentral.